AUGUGGGAAUGAUUUCUUACUAAUAAAGAAACUGCCUUGGCCCAUUUUAUUGGAUAGAAAAUUAGGUAGGCGGAGUAUACAGAAGAGAAUUCUGGGAGAAAGAAGGUUAGAGGAAGAGUCGCCAUGAUUCUCCCGCUCCAGACAGACGCAGGUUAAGAUCCUCUCUGGUAAGCCAGCUCAUGGGCUACACAGAAUAUUAGAAAUGGGUUAGAACAAUAUGUAAGAGCUAGCCAAUAAGAAACUGGACCUAGCCAGGCCAGGCAGUGUUUGAAAGAAUACAGUUUCCGUGUAAUUAUUUCUGGGUAUAAACUAGCCAUGCGGGCGGCCGGGUGCCGGGGACGCAGCCCUGCCGUCCCUAUUUCAACAGAUGGCGCCCAGACGUGAUGGGCUAAAUCCACUUAAAAACCUGAGAAGGCUUAAAAAUAAGGGAGAGAGAGUUUAACACAGAUUUUUGCUGUUUUGUUGGUGG
This is a long non-coding RNA of Alexandromys fortis (reed vole), 469 nucleotides long. RefSeq lists it as uncharacterized. NCBI's taxonomy places the organism in Eukaryota, Metazoa, Chordata, Mammalia, Rodentia, Cricetidae. The transcript has 2 exons. The record is from RefSeq and is a predicted model, not a curated record.